Molecule: ribosomal RNA, 228 nt
Filed under: uncultured bacterium
Lineage: Bacteria
Description: partial 16S ribosomal RNA
Rfam family: Bacterial small subunit ribosomal RNA
Source: RNAcentral
UGGGUAACCUGCCUCAAAGAGGGGAAUAGCCUCCCGAAAGGGAGAUUAAUACCGCAUAAUAUGUUUAAGUCGCAUGACUUUAACAUCAAAGGAUUUUCUUUUAGAAAUUCCACUUUGAGAUGGACCCGCGGCGCAUUAGCUAGUUGGUGAGGUAACGGCUCACCAAGGCAACGAUGCGUAGCUGAUCUGAGAGGAUGAUCAGCCACAUUGGGACUGAGACACGGCAGA